GUUAAAAAGCUCGUAGUUGGAUUUCUGUGAGAGUAUGAUGUCCUAACGUGUUUAGAGCGCAGAAAACUCUUGCAUCCUUCUGUUACCUCCACGUGGCAUUCGCUUGCCAGUGGUUGGCUCAGAGAAUUUACCUUGAGAAAAUUAGAGUGUUUCAGGCAGGCUUAGUCGGAAUACAUUAGCAUGGAGUAAUAGAAUAGGACUCCGGUCUCGUUGUUGGAUUGAGGGACUGUAGUAAUGAUUAAUAGGGAUAGUUGGGGGCAUUAGUACUCGGUUGUCAGAGGUGAAAUUCUCAGAUUUAUUGAAGACUAACUUAUGCGAAAGCAUUUGCCAAGGAUGUUUUCAUUAAUCAAGAACGAAAGUUAGGGGAUCAAAGACGAUCAGAUACCGUCCUAGUCUUAACCAUAAACUAUGCCGACUCGGGAUUGGGGGCGUGUUAUUAUCCGCCUUCAGCACCGUAUGCGAAAUCAAAGUCUUUGGGUUCUGGGGGGGGUAUGGUCGCAAGGUUGAAACUUAAAGGAAUUGACGGAAGGGCACCACCAGGCGUGGAGCUUGCGGCUCAAUUUGACUCAACACGGGAAAACUUACCAGGUCCAGACAUAGUAAGGAUUGACAGAUUGAUAGCUCU
This 625-nucleotide ribosomal RNA is filed under the name uncultured marine eukaryote. RNAcentral describes it as "SSU rRNA". It matches the Rfam family "Eukaryotic small subunit ribosomal RNA", at positions 618 to 1258 of the family's 1831-position model. The record is from RNAcentral.